AUUGAACGCUGGCGGUAUGCCUAACACAUGCAAGUCGAACGAGGUAGCAAUACCUAGUGGCGGACGGGUGAGGAAUACGUAGGGAUCUGCCCUUAAGUGGGGGAUAACCCGGGGGAAACCCGGAUUAAUACCGCAUGAUCUCGCAAGAGCAAAGAGGGGGGACCGCAAGGCCUCUCGCUUUUUGGCGGAACCUACGUCGGAUUAGCUAGUUGGUGAGGUAAUGGCUCACCAAGGCGACGAUCCGUAACUGGUCUGAGGGGAUGAUCAGUCACACCGGAACUGAGACACGGUCCGGACUCCUACGGGAGGCAGCAGUGGGGAAUAUUGGACAAUGGGCGAAAGCCUGAUCCAGCAAUACCGCGUAGUGUGAAGAAGGCCUUCGG
RNAcentral lists this ribosomal RNA (383 nucleotides) under uncultured bacterium. RNAcentral's name for it is "bacterial SSU rRNA". It matches the Rfam family "Bacterial small subunit ribosomal RNA", at positions 30 to 421 of the family's 1533-position model. The record is from RNAcentral.